AGUGAAAUUACUAGAUCAUAUGGUAACUCUAUGCUCAAGUUUUUGAGGAACCCCCAAACUGUUCCACAAUGGCUGUACCAUUUUACAAUCCCACCAGUUGU
RNAcentral lists this microRNA precursor (101 nucleotides) under Marmota monax (woodchuck). The record is from RNAcentral. Lineage: Eukaryota; Metazoa; Chordata; Mammalia; Rodentia; Sciuridae.